This 601-nucleotide ribosomal RNA is filed under the name uncultured bacterium. Its description in RNAcentral is "bacterial SSU rRNA". It matches the Rfam family "Bacterial small subunit ribosomal RNA", at positions 935 to 1532 of the family's 1533-position model. The record is from RNAcentral.
GAGCAUGUGGUUUAAUUUGAAGCAACGCGCAGAACCUUACCAGCGUUUGACAUGUCCGGACGAUUUCCAGAGAUGGAUCUCUUCCCUUCGGGGACUGGAACACAGGUGCUGCAUGGCUGUCGUCAGCUCGUGUCGUGAGAUGUUGGGUUAAGUCCCGCAACGAGCGCAACCCUCGCCUUAAGUUACCAUCAUUUAGUUGGGUACUCUAAAGGAACCGCCGGUGAUAAGCCGGAGGAAGGUGGGGAUGACGUCAAGUCCUCAUGGCCCUUACGCGCUGGGCUACACACGUGCUACAAUGGCGACUACAGUGGGCUGCAAUCCCGCGAGGGUGAGCUAAUCUCCAAAAGUCGUCUCAGUUCGGAUUGUUCUCUGCAACUCGAGAGCAUGAAGGCGGAAUCGAUAGUAAUCGCGGAUCAGCAUGCCGCGGUGAAUACGUUCCCAGGCCUUGUACACACCGCCCGUCACACCAUGGGAGUUGGGUUCACCCGAAGGCGUUGCGCUAACCUCGCAAGAGGAGGCAGGCGACCACGGUGGGCUUAGCGACUGGGGUGAAGUCGUAACAAGGUAGCCGUAGGGGAACCUGCGGCUGGAUCACCUCCUU